AUGGUCAACUUGUUGUGCACCAGCACUCCCAGCUCCUUCUCCGCAGAGCUGCUCUCCCGCUGGUCAGCCCCCAGCCAGUUCUGGUGCAUGGGGUUGUUCCUCCCUGGGUGCAGGACCCGGCACUUCCCCUUGUUGACCUUCAGGAGGUUCCCCUCUGCCCUUCUCUCUAGCCGGUUGAGGUCCCUCUCAAUGGCAGCACAGCUCUCUGGUGUAACAGCCACUCCUCCCCAUUUUGGAUCCUCAGCAAACUUGCUGAGGGUGCACUCUGUCCCUUCAUCCAUGUCAUGGAUGAAUAAAUUGAACAGGAUUGGAGCCACUAUUGACCCCUGGGGGACACUGCUAGCUACUGGCCUUAACUAUAGCAAAAUUAAGUUACUAGACCAAGGCAAGGAAGGCAUUCAAUCUCUCUUCCUUUCCCAUGUCCUUUGUCACCAUGGCCCCUGCCCCAUUCAGCAGCGGGCACACAUUUCCCCUAGUUUUGCUUUUGCUGCUAAUGAACUUGCACAUCUUCUUGUUGCCCUUGACAUCCCUCACCAGAUUCAACUGCAGAUGGCCUUUGGCCUUCCUAGCCCCAUCCCUGCAUACUUGGACAGUGUCCAUCUAUCCUUCCCAGGUUACCUGUCCCUGCUUCCACCUUCCGUAUACUUCCUUCUUAUGUUUGAGUUUUGCCAGGAGCUCCUUGUUCCUCCAGGAAUGUCUCCUGCCACCUUUGCUCAACUUCCUGCUCAUUGGGAUGGACUCUUCCUGAGCUUGGAGGAGGUGAUCCUUGAAUAUGAAGCAGCUAUCCAUGUCUUCUUUUUUCUCUUUAGGGUCUUUAGGGCCCUAUCCCAUAGGAUUCUUUCAAGUAGGUCCCUGAAGAGGCCAAAGUUUGCUCUCCUGCAGUCCAGGGCUGUGAUCCUGCUUUUUGACUUAUUACCUCCUCAUAGGAUCCUAUAUUAUCAUUCCUUAUCCACAGAUAAAGAAGUCCUUCACCAAUCAAAGUUAUUCUAUCAUCAUAUAAGAAGCAGCCUUAUAAGAAGAAAAAGCUUUCUUGCUGCACUGAAAUUCCCCUCUCAAGGCCUAAGUGAACUGAGCUGUACAUUUCUCUGCCGGUGUGAGGAAAGCAGUCUCUGA
This 1113-nucleotide long non-coding RNA is filed under the name Apteryx haastii (Great spotted kiwi). RNAcentral's name for it is "lncRNA (ENSAHAG00000010144.1)". Lineage: Eukaryota; Metazoa; Chordata; Aves; Apterygiformes; Apterygidae. The record is from RNAcentral.